RNAcentral lists this ribosomal RNA (450 nucleotides) under Natronorubrum sp. Its description in RNAcentral is "bacterial SSU rRNA". It matches the Rfam family "Archaeal small subunit ribosomal RNA", at positions 58 to 508 of the family's 1478-position model. The record is from RNAcentral. Lineage: Archaea; Methanobacteriati; Methanobacteriota; Halobacteria; Halobacteriales; Natrialbaceae.
UUGUACGAGUUCAGACUCGUAGCAGAUAGCUCAGUAACACGUGGCCAAACUACCCUAUGGAUCCGGAUAACCUCGGGAAACUGAGGCUAAUCCGGAAUACGAUUCUCAUCUUGGAAUUGCUGGAAAUCCAAAAGGCUCAGGCCCCUUAGGAGGUGGCUGCGGCCAAUUAGGUAAACGGGGGGGUAACGGCCCACCGGGCCAAUAAUCGGUACGGGUUGGGAAAGCAAAAGCCCGGAAACGGUAUCUGAAACAAAAUACCGGGCCCUACGGGGCGCACCAGGCGCGAAACCUUUACACUGCACGCCAGUGCAAUAAGGGAACUCCAAGUGCAAGGGCAUAUAUUCCUCGUUUUUCACCACCGUAAGGAGGUGGUAAAAUAAUUGCUGGGCAAAACCGGUGCCACCCGCCGCGGUAAUACCGGCAGCACAAGUGAUGACCGCUAUUAUUGGG